RNAcentral lists this long non-coding RNA (263 nucleotides) under Ornithorhynchus anatinus (platypus). Its description in RNAcentral is "lncRNA (ENSOANG00000048633.1)". The record is from RNAcentral. Lineage: Eukaryota; Metazoa; Chordata; Mammalia; Monotremata; Ornithorhynchidae.
AGCUUCCAGUCCUGGUUUUCAGUGACAGUAGUUUCCUUUCCCAGUCCCUGAGUGACUGUAGCUUCCCAGUGUUCUAAAAACUGUUAAGGUAUGGUUUGGGGUAAUUUUUUCUAGGUCCACGUGAGAGUCUGAAGGAACCACAAGCUGUCAUCCCCAGUGGGGGAAGUGGAUUUCUUUCUUCCAGUGCCGACUUCUUGGCUGAUGAAAUUGCUCUGGAUCUGAUCAGAUUCUGGGUGGACAGUGGCUUAGGCUAAGCCUCCGAC